UGGCUCAAUGGUAGAGUGCUUGCCUUGCAUGCAUGAGGCCCUGGGUUCGAUUUCUCAG
Molecule: transfer RNA, 58 nt
Filed under: Dipodomys ordii (Ord's kangaroo rat)
Lineage: Eukaryota; Metazoa; Chordata; Mammalia; Rodentia; Heteromyidae
Rfam family: tRNA
About the family: Transfer RNA (tRNA) molecules are approximately 80 nucleotides in length.
Source: Rfam by way of RNAcentral